GAGAUACCCUUAUGGGGCACGACUUGUUUCAGUGUGGCUUUGAUGCUCACUGAGUCUGCCCUUUGAGUAUUUCUCU
This 76-nucleotide microRNA precursor is filed under the name Myotis davidii. RNAcentral describes it as "mir-9229 microRNA precursor family". It matches the Rfam family "mir-9229 microRNA precursor family". Lineage: Eukaryota; Metazoa; Chordata; Mammalia; Chiroptera; Vespertilionidae. The record is from Rfam by way of RNAcentral.